GUCACGCGAACGGCAACGGCUAUUGGUGGGUACCCUCACCCUCUGGCCUACCUCCACAACGGGAUAGUUGUGCGGGCUGUUUGCGGGUUCCGUAAUGUGCGCUGUGCGCACCUCGGGCUCGACACUGCGCUACCUCGCAGGACGACCGAAACACGGCUUUCGUGAUCGGCGUUCGGAUACGGUAGUCCGGAGCGAUCCGGCCAGUG
The submitters of this non-coding RNA (206 nucleotides) gave its source as unclassified sequences. The record is from Rfam.